GGGUGACUAGUGACAGAGAGAGGGAGCGGGUGACACAGUGACAGAGUUAGGGAGGGAGUGACUAGUGACAGAGAGAGGGAUGGGGUGACUAGUGACAGUCACCCCCCUCACUCUGUCACUAGUCACCCCUUCCCUCCCUCACUUUGCCACUAGUCAUCUCUUCCCUCCCUCACUCUGCCACUAGUCACCCAUUCCCUCACUCUGUCACUAGUCACCC
This is a non-coding RNA of Pelobates cultripes (western spadefoot toad), 217 nucleotides long. Lineage: Eukaryota; Metazoa; Chordata; Amphibia; Anura; Pelobatidae. The record is from the annotation of a GenBank genome assembly.